RNAcentral lists this ribosomal RNA (253 nucleotides) under uncultured bacterium. RNAcentral describes it as "partial 16S ribosomal RNA". It matches the Rfam family "Bacterial small subunit ribosomal RNA", at positions 524 to 776 of the family's 1533-position model. The record is from RNAcentral.
UACAGAGGGGGCAAGCGUUAUUCGGAAUUAUUGGGCGUAAAGGGCGCGUAGGCGGCUUGGCAAGUGGAAGGUGAAAUCCCUCGGCUUAACCGAGGAACUGCCCUCCAAACUGCUUCGCUUGAGACCGGGAGAGGUGAGUGGAAUUCCCAGUGUAGCGGUGAAAUGCGUAGAUAUUGGGAGGAACACCAGUGGCGAAGGCGGCUCACUGGACCGGUACUGACGCUCAGGCACGAAAGCAUGGGGAGCAAAAGGG